GCCGGAGUAGCUCAGCUGGUAGAGCACUGCUCUUGUAAAGCAGAUGCCGCGGGUUCGAGUCCCGCCUCCGGCU
RNAcentral lists this transfer RNA (73 nucleotides) under Actinomycetes bacterium. Its description in RNAcentral is "Actinobacteria bacterium tRNA-Thr". It matches the Rfam family "tRNA". From Rfam's summary of the family: Transfer RNA (tRNA) molecules are approximately 80 nucleotides in length. Their secondary structure includes four short double-helical elements and three loops (D, anti-codon, and T loops). Lineage: Bacteria; Bacillati; Actinomycetota; Actinomycetes. The record is from RNAcentral.